CCCAGCCUGGGGAGACCCAGAAGGUUUCCCACCUGCACCUUUAGCCUGUGGAUAUGGCCAUGGAUUGCUGUGUGAUCCUGCAGGAUCUGAUUCACUGUCUGCAGGGAAUCUGGGGUUUAAGAUGUUGGAAGCAGUCCAAGAACUGCGUUGUACCCCAUCAAAAUGAAGUUUUCAUGGCAUGAACGUGAAGAUGCUGCAUGCCUUGGAUGUGCCCUGAACACAUACUGGGAAUUCCUGAGGGUGCAAAGUCUCCUGGAGCAGCACAAGCCAUGUUUUCCCCUGGACUGUUCUACUUUCCAAUCACCAUUUUCUCACAUUUGCCAGCCCUGAUCUCUGCUCGUUUCCAGCCCACCCACUUCCAAACCAAACUGCCUUUGGGAGUACCUGCUGCCCUCACAGCAGCUUCCUUGCACACAGACAGUCCUCUGGGGAGCA
Lepidothrix coronata (blue-crowned manakin) is the source of this 435-nucleotide long non-coding RNA. RefSeq lists it as uncharacterized. NCBI's taxonomy places the organism in Eukaryota, Metazoa, Chordata, Aves, Passeriformes, Pipridae. The record is from RefSeq and is a predicted model, not a curated record. The transcript is spliced from 3 exons.